This 200-nucleotide ribosomal RNA is filed under the name uncultured bacterium. RNAcentral describes it as "partial 16S ribosomal RNA". It matches the Rfam family "Bacterial small subunit ribosomal RNA", at positions 524 to 723 of the family's 1533-position model. The record is from RNAcentral.
UACGAAGGGUGCAAGCGUUAUCCGGAUUCAUUGGGUUUAAAGGGUGCGUAGGCGGAACAAUAAGUCAGCGGUGAAAGCCCGCAGCUUAACUGCGGAAUUGCCGUUGAUACUGUUGUUCUUGAGUACGUUUGACGUGGGCGGAAUGUGCCGUGUAGCGGUGAAAUGCUUAGAUAUGGCACAGAACACCGAUAGUGAAGACA